CCUACGGGGGGCUGCAGUGGGGAAUAUUGGACAAUGGGGGGAACCCUGAUCCAGCCAUGCCGCGUGUGUGAAGAAGGCCCUCGGGUUGUAAAGCACUUUCAGUGAGGAAGAACGCCUGGUGGUUAAUACCCAUCAGGAAAGACAUCACUCACAGAAGAAGCACCGGCUAACUCCGUGCCAGCAGCCGCGGUAAUACGGAGGGUGCGAGCGUUAAUCGGAAUUACUGGGCGUAAAGCGCGCGUAGGUGGCUUGAUAAGCCGGUUGUGAAAGCCCCGGGCUCAACCUGGGAACGGCAUCCGGAACUGUCAAGCUAGAGUGCAGGAGAGGAAGGUAGAAUUCCCGGUGUAGCGGUGAAAUGCGUAGAGAUCGGGAGGAAUACCAGUGGCGAAGGCGGCCUUCUGGACUGACACUGACACUGAGGUGCGAAAGCGUGGGUAGCACACAGGAUUAGAUACCCGAGUAGUC
RNAcentral lists this ribosomal RNA (465 nucleotides) under Vreelandella stevensii. RNAcentral describes it as "partial 16S ribosomal RNA". It matches the Rfam family "Bacterial small subunit ribosomal RNA", at positions 338 to 795 of the family's 1533-position model. The record is from RNAcentral. Lineage: Bacteria; Pseudomonadati; Pseudomonadota; Gammaproteobacteria; Oceanospirillales; Halomonadaceae.